UGACUAGUGAAUACAUAGCUAGCAAGAGGUAGACGCAGUGAACUGAAACAUCUUAGUAGCUGCAGGAAGAGAAAGAAAUAUCGAUUCCCUGAGUAGCGGCGAGCGAAAAGGGAAGAGCCCAAACCAAUAAGCUUGCUUGUUGGGGUUGUAGGACUGAACAUUAGAGUUACCAAAGUGCGACGUAGUCGCAACAGUUGGGAAGCUGUGCCAUAGAGGGUGAAAGCCCCGUAGACGAAACGUCGCACUCUCUGUUCAG
RNAcentral lists this ribosomal RNA (256 nucleotides) under Limosilactobacillus reuteri. RNAcentral's name for it is "Lactobacillus reuteri partial 23S ribosomal RNA". It matches the Rfam family "Bacterial large subunit ribosomal RNA", at positions 152 to 403 of the family's 2925-position model. The record is from RNAcentral. Lineage: Bacteria; Bacillati; Bacillota; Bacilli; Lactobacillales; Lactobacillaceae.